RNAcentral lists this ribosomal RNA (177 nucleotides) under Hazslinszkyomyces aloes. Its description in RNAcentral is "partial 18S ribosomal RNA". It matches the Rfam family "Eukaryotic small subunit ribosomal RNA", at positions 1657 to 1831 of the family's 1831-position model. Lineage: Eukaryota; Fungi; Ascomycota; Dothideomycetes; Pleosporales; Coniothyriaceae. The record is from RNAcentral.
CCUUUGUACACACCGCCCGUCGCUACUACCGAUUGAAUGGCUCAGUGAGGCCUUCGGACUGGCUCGGGGAGGUUGGCAACGACCACCCCGAGCCGGAAAGUUCGUCAAACUCGGUCAUUUAGAGGAAGUAAAAGUCGUAACAAGGUUUCCGUAGGUGAACCUGCGGAAGGAUCAUUA